CCGUAUUGUGGAUUUGAGGAGAGAUCAUGUCUUAACUUGUGAUUCCGAAAGGUUUUGUAAGUUGAAGUAUGCGCAUCUUCUGGACGUCUAUACCUCUGAAGGUGGGGCGUACCUAGAGCGUACACGUUGGGACCCGAAAGAUGGUGAACUAUGCCUGGUCAGGACGAAGCCAGGGGAAACCCUGGUGGAGGUUCGUAGCGAUUCUGACGUGCAAAUCGAUCGUCGGAACUGGGUAUAGGGGCGAAAGACUAAUCGAACCAUCUAGUAGCUGGUUCCCUCCGAAGUUUCCCUCAGGAUAGCUGGCGCUUAUACCAGUCUCAUCCGGUAAAGCGAAUGAUUAGAGGCCUUGGGGCCGAAACGACCUCAACCUAUUCUCAAACUUUAAAUGGGUGAGAAGUCAGGCU
RNAcentral lists this ribosomal RNA (404 nucleotides) under Mesaphorura sp. 2F1b1_JC412. RNAcentral describes it as "partial 28S ribosomal RNA". It matches the Rfam family "Eukaryotic large subunit ribosomal RNA", at positions 714 to 1087 of the family's 3401-position model. Lineage: Eukaryota; Metazoa; Arthropoda; Collembola; Poduromorpha; Tullbergiidae. The record is from RNAcentral.